UUAACUGAAACCAAAAAGAGGUAUAUCAUUGUUAAUGAUAAAAUUGAAUUAAAAUGUUCCAGUUAAG
This 67-nucleotide transfer RNA is filed under the name Cryptotermes domesticus. RNAcentral describes it as "tRNA-Asn". Lineage: Eukaryota; Metazoa; Arthropoda; Insecta; Blattodea; Kalotermitidae. The record is from RNAcentral.